AUGAACAAGACCUCAGGGAAAAUUCUGAAGAUCAGAGAGAAAUUUGAAUGCCUAGCAGGAGAAUUAAUAAUGAGAGAAUGCAUAUUCACAAUUUUCGGCCGCGAGACCUGGUAUUCAUAUAUGUUUCCGGCCAAACCGUUGGCGUGCAGCAUACACACACACACUAACAGUGUAAACCGUAGAAACGAACUACAAGAUGUCUACCCUGUACUGAGAUAUCUUUCGACGUUUUGGCAACAGCCUAUGUAUUCGAAGAGGUCUCAUCUGGUUCAUUCAGCUAAUCGUUCGAGGAGCAGGUUAUGUUUCUUAGUCAACGUAUUGCGUGAGCUAACUGUGCGACAUCAGUUUGCUGGCUUCAGGAACGGCCAGGCCGAGGAGCAGAGGUCAGGUGCGGUGUUCCCGUCGCCGUCCUUAAUCUGGAGAUCAGCAUGGUGCUUCACAAGAAGUUGGGCGAUGUCUUCCUUCUCACAACGGACAGCAUAA
Molecule: ribosomal RNA, 483 nt
Filed under: Triticum aestivum (bread wheat)
Lineage: Eukaryota; Viridiplantae; Streptophyta; Magnoliopsida; Poales; Poaceae
Description: partial small subunit ribosomal RNA
Source: RNAcentral